Rhincodon typus (whale shark) is the source of this 8323-nucleotide long non-coding RNA. RefSeq lists it as uncharacterized. The transcript has 2 exons. Lineage: Eukaryota; Metazoa; Chordata; Chondrichthyes; Orectolobiformes; Rhincodontidae. The record is from RefSeq and is a predicted model, not a curated record.
UUCUCAUAGUUGAUAGGGUUCGGCUCCGCUCUGCUGCAGGAUGUUGACCCCAAUCGUGACAAUUUUGUGGGCGCAGGAGUCAUUCACACAAAAUCCAUCCAGGUCGGAUGUUUGUUGAGGCUGGAACCCAACAGUCAGGCGCAGAUGUAUCGCCUCACACUACGCACAAGCAAGGAGGCUGUGUCGAAGCGACUAUGUGCAUUACUGUCUCAACAGUUCUGAAGUCUCAACAUGUAAUCGAUCUCUUACACUAUACUGUGUGUUUGUUUUGAGUCUGAGCGUGUGUCCGUGUGCGCAUGAGUGCGUGAUGGUCCAUUUAUCUAUGCGCCACAUCCAGUGAAAUCUUCAAGAAGCAUCAUGUGACGUCCUUUAAGUACAGUAUAUGUUUACGUGAUUGUAGAGGUUUUUUUGCUAUUGAGGGACUUGGAAGAUUCCUUGGUAUGCGAGGCAUCAUGUGAGGCAGAGGGAAAAGGGAGAAGGUGAGCACAGCUGACACUAGGUUGUGGGGAAGCUGACACUACGUAGCUGCUAUCUGUGGUACUUCUCAAUCAUGUUGAUGAGAGCCCCUCAAUGAUUGUAACGCGCCCCAGUCCUGGGAUUGUGGAAUGUGACGGCAGUAGCCCUCACUGCCUGCUUUUUGUUUCCAAGAUAUUGGUGAUCAGAAAGGCUCCUCGCAAACCCCAGCUUGGUAUUGCAGUCACAUGGUGUCAGGCUGAGCCACACACAGCCCUGGAAAGAGUGCCCUGCACGGCAUGCUGACUUAACUCUGUGGUUUGGCGUUGCCAUUCCCUGCAGUCUUGGGUUAGGGAGUGACCCUAGUGGCAGUUUUGCGUCUCGGUUGCUCUGCCAGUGUCGGGCUGUGCUGGUGCCUGGUGAAGGUGAAGUCAGACUCGGCCAUAAAGCUUCAGUUAUGCCCUCCCAGUUGAACAGCCCAUGCUAACUUGCUGCCUCGACUUGCACACAGGACACAGCAACUUCAGGGCGUUUGAUGACACCUUGCUGUCUGAACAUCUGUCCUCGAGCAACAAACUGUCUUUGAGAGAUGGAGAGUGAGUGUAGGGGGUGAACAUUGGGCAGAAUAUUUUCAGUAGCUAUUGGGUGAUUUGCCCUUUUUGUUCUCCAUGCCUCUGCACAUCUCAAUUAGAUGAUGCCCGAAUACCAAAAGACUUGGAAGUUCCACCUCGCUGUUAAUCGAUAUAGUCAUUCCUUAUAUUAAAAGAAAGUAUGAAGUAAUUGUAAAAUGUAUGUGUAUAUAACUCCUUAUUUAGGGUUGGAUAGAAAUACCUGUAUGACCAAUUUACUCUCUGGUCACUGAUGUUAAGUUAGCUGUUUAAAUGUCACCACUGAAAAUUAAGAGGGUGGGCAAACUUUUUUUUUAAUUUAACCUUCCGCUUUACAUUUUGUUACAAGUGCAAAAAGACUGGAACAUUUCCCUUCUCAUCCUCUUUGUCUUCGCUCGUUUCUUUAGAAAACAAAGUCUGCUCUCCUGUCACCUUUAAGUCCCGCUCGAGUCAAACUCAUUCCCUCCUCCCCUGCUGUUAGUGGCCAGCACGAACUGCAUGAUGCGUGCGAUUGAGCAGAAAUGUUUGCUUUAGUGUAAAUGCAAUGAAACAUGACAAUGGGGUGAAUUGUUCCUUACUCUGAAUCUGCUUUCAUGCCAGCACCACUUUGUUUGGUUCCGAGUCUGGGAAGUCUGUGUCCAUGAGCCAGCUCCUCAGCGUCUACACUUCUCAAGCCAGCUUCCCCAUCCUGUGCAGACCCAGUUCUUCAUGGAUUUACAAGGAACCGGAUUUGGCAUCAUAAACCGAGAGGAAAAGCAGCUUAAACUGCUUCUGUCUCCUGCAUUCAAAAGUUUAAAAUUUCUCUUUCUUUUCCCCUACCCCCUGCCCUCUCCAGCUCUCUGCUUCACUCAAAGCGUCCUUCAAUUUUGAAUGUGUCAUCUGUCUGUUUUGGGUCGGCUUGCUUGUUCAUCCCCACCUCCUGUUUCUUUUUACCUACUACCACUAUUACUACUGCUCUGGGAGUUGUCUUGUAAAUGGUGAGUGAACCAGUGCUGUGCUUACCCCAGGUUUAGUAUAACCUCCCCUCGUUUUGUUCAGGAGAAUCCCAUCUGCCUAAUGCCUGUAUAUAGAACUAACCCAAGUGACUGGAUAACAGGGCAGUGGGGCUUCUUUGCUGAGCUGUAUAGAGAGAGCCUGACCAGUUUCAAAGGCUGAUUUUUAACAAGAGCAAAACCGCUGGUAAAUUAAUGGGGAUGGGGGGGAGCCAAAUUAAAUUUUCAGUGGCAGCAGUGAGUUGGACCGUUUUAACGAAUGGAGUUGCUGUGGCCUGGAUGAAAUGCGCGAGUCAAAAUGUAACCUUGGAAAAGGAAACAAAAAAUACAAGAGAACAAAAGAAUGUGAAUAAAGUUCCCGGCUUGUCUUACUAUACAGCACCCACUACAUUGCAUCUGGCAGAUCCUACAAACCGAGUGUGUUCUGUCCAUUAUUUUAUUUGCACAGUCAAAAGCAAGGAAAGUAUCACUUCAACCAUCCUGAGCUUUUCCUCAACACUGCACUUUUUGCAGAAAUCCCAUUGCAGUUACUAGCACGAUUUCCAUUGAAGUCAAUGUCACCAGAAGUAAUCCUGAGGAAAUUCUGUCUUCCAUGUGGGAUGGAGGAAGAACAUAAGAUGUAGGAGCAGAAGUAGACCAUUUGCUCCAGUGAGCUUGCACCAUUAUUUAAUAAGACAAUGGUUGAUCUGAUAAUGCUCACCUCCGCUCAUCUGCCUUUUCCCCAUAACCUUUGAUUCACUUAUUGACUAAAAUCUGUCAAUCUCAGCCUUUUGAUUUCUAUCAUGACUAGCCCUCUGCAGUAAGGGAUUGACUAUCUUCAGAGAAAUUUUUCCUUCUUUAUUAUUUGGGUGACCCCUUACUCUGAGACUUGCCCCUCCGGUCCUAGACUCUCCUAUGAGGGGAAACAACCUCUCUGCAUGUAUCCGUUAUGUUUCACUAAGGUCUCCUGUAUAUCUUCUGCACUUUUGAGUACAGGCCCAAUCGAUUCAACCUCUCCUUAUAAGAAAAUCCCAUCAUGCCUGGGAUCAAACUAGUGCACUUUCUCUGGAGUGCCUCUAGUGGCAGUAAAUCCUUCCUUGGAUAAUGGGACCAAAACUGUUUACAGUAUUCUGGGUGUGGUCUGGCUAGUGCCUUGUAGAAUGAGGAGGAAGAAUGUUAGCGAUACUUGGCAGUGAGGUUCAUGACUGCAAAACCACUAAAAAUUUCUAAACAAGUGCCCCUGACUUGAAGUCAUCUGAUCAGCGGCUUUCUGUAACUGGGCAUGCUGUUGAAUUGGAAAAAGCCUUGGGAAUCUUCUACUGGAGAGGACUGUGGAUGCUCAGCUUUUGAGCGUAUUCCGCACCGAAAGCCGUAGAUUUUUGGGCACUAAAGGUAUCGAGGGAUUUGAGUGGGGAAAAUGGAGUUAAUGUAGAGAUCCACUCUUGAUAGUACUGAAUAGUUCAAGCGACCCUUAACAUGCUGCUAACUUUCUUCCUAACAUUGAAGUUGGGCAGUUGACUUCAAAACUUAACUGUUUUAAACUGCUCAUCAGGACCCAAGUGACUGACUCAACUUGUUCCAGGUAGAUGGAGUGGGAGACACUUUCCUUCACCUCGACAUUUUGUUUUGAGCUAUUUUUGAAAGUGCAACGCCUUCGUAAAGGAUUGAACUGGACGAGGCCAUUCAGCCCUUUGAGCCUGCUUCUCCCACUAAAUUAAUCACAUGCUCCCACUCCAUUUUCCUCCAUUGCUUUUAAUAUUCCAGUGUGGAACUUCCUUGACAUUUUUUCUUUGUAUUUUAAUUCACUGUUCAUUCAUAUCCUGCUAACAAUUGACCACAUUAUCAUCCAGUCACUGUUUUAAAAUGGCCCAUUCUGACCUUUUUUUUUGUUCCAUUUCAAGUUCACAAAUCUUGUAUAAAUUUGUUUGCUUUAGCACAACUAGCAGGUGUAAUUACAGCAUCUCGUGUUUACAUGGUGUUUUCCAUUCUAAAGGUAGGGAUCAGAAUUUAAUGUAGAAAGCUAUCUGGAAUUGCAUUCAGGUGUAAGACUUUUAAAAGAUACUCAGUUCUUUAAUCCCAAGCUAUCAUGAUGCAUUAUGUCUCAUGAAACUGCUCAUACAGUAAUUUUGAGAAUUCCCCAUCUUUACAAAAAAUAAAGGGUAAUUCAUAUAGAAUUGCUUCCUUGCUGUCUUCAAUCAUUGAAGCUCCCAUUAAUUAUCCUAACUGCUCUAUCUCAGGAUUUUUGAUUGAGUUUUCCUGAAUUAGAGAAAAUUAAGGUGUCAUUGUAACCAAGUUAUUUUGAAUUCAAGUAUGCUUUAUGCCCUCACAUGUUAGGGGCUGUAAGGGAGUUGGCUGAAGGCAUUUUCCAGUGUCUGGAGCCAAGAAGUGGCAAAAAUCCACUGACUAAUGUAUCUGAGAGGCAGGAACGCACUCGUGUGUUCCAGGGCAAAGAGGAAUCACUUGGUGUCCCCUCUGGAUACUGUGCUGGAUAAAUAGGCAGCUUUGAAUGCACGUUAGCAAGCUUGGCAGGGAGGGCCUCCAGUAUGAAAUAGCCUAGUGCCAUUCACUUGAACACAAAGCACUUGGGGAAGGUGCUGACUGGCACUUAUGAAGCCAUAGCCCAACAGUCAAGUCCUUGAGUGGAGAAUUUUACAAAAGAGAAUACUUUUGUUUUAACAAUAACCGUCUGCCUGUUAGGACUGUAGUUUGGAAGUCCUUUCUGUCAAAGAGGCUUCUUGAUGACCUGUGGAACUGAGACUUCCUAUCCAAUCUGCAUCUUUCAUUCUUCUACCUUCUCCAUGUUUUCCAAUUAUUCAGACAGCUCAGAACCGAACCUUUUGGGGUUACCAUCUACCUUGUUGACUCAAUCCUUUUACAUUUCUUAGUAAAUCUGAGAUGGGUGGGGACAGCUGCACUCAGCUCUAAGAACAGAGAGAUGCAAAGUGAUUUUUGGAGCUUGCUGUGUCUUCUGGGAACUGAGGAAGUCAUUUUGUGACAAAAACCACUCUCUUGCCUUGUUUAAAAGCAGCAUGUUUACAGAUCAUGAGUGAGGUUCUUUCUUUUUUGUUUUCUUAAAUGCAAUAUGUAUUAAAGCGAUUAACUUAGUGAUGUGUAGCACUUUAGUCAUAGUUCAAUCAAGGUAAAAGUGUAUGAUAUUGUGUGAUCUAUAAUGCAGUAUAUUUGUCUGUGUGCCUCCAGCCUUUGCUCUGUGUAACCAGCCCUACUGGUAAUUUUGCAUUAAUUGCCUCAAUAGAUCUGACAUGGUGAGGGGUGGGGGAUGUUGGUGUUUAUGUUUGAUUCUGAAGCUGAGGUACUUGCUCAGGAUAACAUGAGGGUUGAUAGUUGAAACAGUGCAAUACAAUAUCCAAUUCACAUUCCUUGUAAACUUUAACAUGAACCCUUUUUUUGAAGUUCAUUUGUGUGAGAUGGGAUUGAAUUAGGACCCCCCCCGCCAACUCUGGGGGAAGAUCCCUUGUAACUAGGUGGGCUUUUGGAUUGAGUGGGCCACAGAGUUUACACAUUUAGCCUCAGCUGCCCAUCUGUUGAAGAUCUUGGUGAUUGCCUCUUGCAGUUUGUCGAACCUCUGACCUUCAGGUUCCACUGAUGGUUAAAGCAUCAUCUUUAGCUCUUGAAUUGUAGGGACCUGGUGAAAUCCUCGACUUCUGUCUUCAGUCUGCGCUGAAUUAGCUGAUAUUAGGCCCAUCUAUAAUUACUGACAGUGGCACUGCUAGGCACCUUCAGCUGAUGGUCCAGCUUCUGAUUGUUAUUCCAUGCCCUUGUGCUGCUGGGAAGAAGGCUGUUCAGCUGGACCUCCUUGGCAGUGCUUUCCUCCAGUUAGCCUGCCACAAUAGUCAGUCAACAUGAUCAGCACAAUUCCGAGUCCGAGUCUGCUGACCCUACAAAACAUUUGUGCAGUCCGUGCCUUCGUUUCUCCUUACAGCACACCAGAAUGACAGCAGGUUCGAAUCUGUUUGUAUCUGAGAUUAAGCAAAUGGAAACUUGCUGAGUUUAUUUAAAAAUGUCAAAUAUCCAGUGUGAAUAUGUCCACUUUGGCUGUCCAUUGUCACUGCUGGUAUCUCCUAUUGAAAUCAUUCUCUGAUUCUAAGGAUGAGACAUUCAAAUCAUUACUCCAGUUACUUAAGUAUACAGUCCAGACUCUCUCACCUCGUAUAGCAGCGAGGCAUUGCUGCACUCCCUUUCGGGUGACACGUUGAACUAAGGCACCACUUACUGAGCCCCUGGCACCGUGUGGGCAGGAGUAUGAAGCUUGUUCCAAGUCAACGUUGCCGUAACAUUCCCAAUGAGCACUAGAAGACAAAUUCUCUGGGCGUUCACUUUGCUCCUCCUUCAUGGGAUCUUGCUGUGUGUGUAAAAUAGCAGCUGCAGACUGUGAUGUAGCAACAGCGUCUGUACUGCAGAAAUUCAAUUUGUUUCUCGUGAAGCCAUUUGGGACAUUUCCAAGCAAUCUGAUACUAUGCAGCAGGAUUGAAAAUCCUUUUGACCAAUUCUGUAUACUGGAGGUAAUUUGGAAAAAUUUCAAGUAAUUCAGUUUUAUUGAACAAAACAGUGUGAAUUCAGCUUUGGUGUAUAUUAUAAAAUCUUACAGCACAGAAGACGGUUUUUUGAUCCAUUGAACCUCUUCUGGCUCCUAGGAAGUUCAAUUAGUCAUGCUGCUUCCCCUGUAAUGCUGCAAGUAUUUGUUCAAGACUCCUUUGAAAAUAAUUAUUAAAAUAUUUAAUAACUAAAUUGGCUUCUAUCACCCUUUUCAGGCAAUGUGUACCAAAUGAACACAUGGUUUAAAAAUUAAAUUGCUCUGAUCUGUUUUUGCCAGUCAACUUAAAUCCAUUGCUGACUGUUUCCACUAGCAGGAAACAAUGGAGAUGUCAGAUCCUAAUUCCUUAAAGAUGCUUUGUCAUGUCUCUCCUCCUGAUAAGAAAGUUCAGGGGUACUUUUGGCUUCAAGUCUGGUUCUUCUAGACUCUGCACUUGUUUUAGUUUCCACACACUUGUGUCCACUUUGUGAGCACCAGCGAUCAAAUGUUCCUUCGCACUGUCCUUUUAUUGCAGAAAUCAGCGUGUGGAUAUUUCAGACUUGUUGCAAAACGGAGUCACACCAGCUCACCACUCUUGCUGAAUUCACAGUUGAGUUGAUCGCGAUUCUUGUUUAGAUCUGCAGCAGUUAUUGCAAUGUCUGCCUUGGAGAAAUGGAAUGUUUUGGGCAAUAAAGUCAAGUCUGCCUCUAGUGAUGCACUGACUGUCCAUUUCAUAUUGUAACCCCCACUAAAGCAAAAGUGCAAGGGCGGGUAAUCACAGCGGUUUUCUGCUGUUGUGGCAGAUGUUAAAUGUGAUGCAUAAAUUGCUGGGCUCCUUGACUUCACCUCUGCCCCUCAUCCUCUGGUCUCGCUUUCACCACAUUGAUCUGUCUCACCCUACUCUGGCAUUGGCACUUCCAGAGUGGUGGGGAGUGCCAUUGAGCCAUGGAGAGACCUCUCAGCAAAUUUGGAAGGGUCUCUGGUCACACAGCCUGGAAUAGGGUGGUGUUACAGUAACCAGGCAAAAGGGACUGUGGGGUGGGAAGCUGCAUUUAAAUAGAAAUCUCCCUCAAAAAGUUCUUUUUCACUAGAUGCCAUUUGCUAAUUUAUUGAGGAGGGUGGAAGUAAAGACACGCUAUGGUUACCACAGGGACCAGAGGGGCUGCUGUACAAGGAGGGUGAACCAUUCAAUUGGCUUCAAUGUGCCAAGUCAUCACAGCUGCAGAAAGAGGAAGGGGGUUGGCUAGCUGGACAGGUCCCGACAAAUGGCUUAGUCAUAUCUCAAGUUGGGGAUCUAGGUAGGACACCCUUCAUCUGAUCAGUAUCCAGUGAAAUGAUAAAAUACAUGUAGGAUGUGAUUGGGAUUCCGCAAAUUUGCUUUUUCCUUGCUGAGUUCUCAAAGCUUGUGUAGAUCACACAUGCUCGUGAAGACUGUCCACAUGGAAAAGGACAUUGGAAGUUAACUGGCAUUUGUACCUCAGCAGGAGAUGAGGUGGGGAGGGCAGUGGGUAGGGUUAAAAUUGAAAUAAUCUGUGUCUGAUCUAGUAAACAUCUGAGUACCAGUAUGGCUGAAUCCAAAGUAGGAUUAUGAUGUUACUAUGCAAUUACUGUUUCAUUAGAGGAGCAGCUUAGAAUAUUGUGUGUGUCUGUAUACAUCUGAGAUGUGAAUCUCCCAUCAGUGUUAAACGACAGACUAUGUUUAACAAAAGCAAAUGUACAAUGAAGGACACUGUGUAGAUAAACUGACCAUAAUGAUCAGU